Non-coding RNA from Condylura cristata (star-nosed mole), 588 nucleotides. NCBI's taxonomy places the organism in Eukaryota, Metazoa, Chordata, Mammalia, Eulipotyphla, Talpidae. The record is from the annotation of a RefSeq genome assembly.
AUGGCGCCCUCCAGCCUGCUGUGGGCACUGGUGGCCUUCACCUGCUCUGGAUCCAGUGCGGCCCAGAAUGUGACUCAAGUCCAGCCAGAUAUAUCAGCACGAGAGGAGUCAAGAGUCACUUUCUUUUGUCAGUAUGAAGCACGUUGGACUUACUACUAUCUUUACUGGUACGUACAGUUUCCUGAUGGAAAAAUGACUUUCCUUGUUCGUCAGGAUUCUUCUGACGACAAUGCAGAAAAGGGCUCCAGUAUGUCCCAGAAAGUUAUUCAAGACCAGGAAGAUAUAUCCACAAGGGAGGGGUCAGCAGUGACCCUUAAGUGUCAGUAUGAAACAAGUUCAAACUACUACUAUCUUUACUGGUACUCACAGCUUCCUGAUGGAAAGAUGACACUCCUUAUCUCUCAGCAUUCUAUGAAUAACAAUGAAGUAAAAGGUCGCUAUUCUAUAAACCUGCAGAAAGCAGACAAAUCCAUCUCCCUCAACAUUGUACCUGUACAAUUGGAAGAUUCAGCCAUGUAUUUCUGUGCUCUCUGGGAAAGCACUGUGUUUGAAGUGAUAGUAAAAGCUGAACAAAAACCCCAGUGCUAA